RNAcentral lists this ribosomal RNA (226 nucleotides) under uncultured Chlamydia sp. Its description in RNAcentral is "partial 16S ribosomal RNA". Lineage: Bacteria; Pseudomonadati; Chlamydiota; Chlamydiia; Chlamydiales; Chlamydiaceae. The record is from RNAcentral.
AAUGACUUCGGUUGUUAUUUAGUGGCGGAAGGGUUAGUAAUACAUAGAUAAUCUGUCCUCAACUWGGGAAUAACGGUUGGAAACGACCGCUAAUACCGAAUGUAGUAUGUUUAGGCAUCUAAAACAUAUUAAAGAAGGGGAUCUUCGGACCUUUCGGUUAAGGGAGAGUCUAUGGGAUAUCAGCUUGNUGRUGGGGUAAUGGCCUACCAAGGCUUUGACGKCYAGG